UGAGAGCAAAUUAAUAAAUGUUAGAGACGCUGGAGGAGUCAUUUCGAAAACAACUUUCCACUUGACAAAAUGUUGAGGGUCCCAUAAACAUUGUAGGAGAGUGAUGGACCACCGCAAUUAGUUUCUCUGUGCAUUUGAUACAGACGUGGAAACGCUGGACUUUGAUUUCCUAAGGCUUCUUGCUGAGAUUACAUUUGUCUGCGAAUCGACCCUUCCCCGUAAAGCAGCAUAACUACGCUACUGGCUUUAUGAAAGCCCCCUCAAUUUAGCAACAACACGGGCGGCUAGCAUGCUAACGCUGGCAUCAUCUACUUGGCCAAUGAGCGAGAUAGCGGCUAACAAGGCGACGCAGAAGCAGCGGAGCUCACCGGAGAUCCCACAGCAGUUAAACUUGAAUAAAGCUCGGCUCCUCGACGGCCUGGAAAACCUUUGGAAAUCCUUCAAAAGCGCUUCCGUCGCAGCAUCGGGCCUUAAUAGUACAUGCCGCGUACAAAUAACUUAGUAAAAUGGGACUUCAACUAUUUACAAUGCUGCUUUUCUUUCUAUCUUUUAGGCCCCUGGAUCAUUCCGCUAUGGCGAAGGGGAAGCGGAACUACCGACCCAGCCCUAGUCUUCUCAAUAAAUGGUUCAAAUGAAUGCUGCCGUGCGAAGCUUCUCCGCUCCCCGGAGCCACUAAUUGCACGUCGCUGGCCAAAUUGCACUGAUAACACUCCAAACGCGAACAGCACCUAUUACACAGCACAAGGAGAUCUAUAAGCAAGUAACGUCAUCGGCUGGAACUUCAGAAACGGCGCGUUAAAUUAAGUCGAAAAGCAUUUUAGGUUGUGCAGUUCAUCGUUUAUUGUGCGUGACGCGAUUGCUGAUAAACGCUAAUAAAUAUUGGAUAAAAAUACGAGCCCUGUUUAAGUAGGGUCGAACUGGUCAUGCAAACUUCCGUGGGAAAUAUUUAAAUUAACUCACGCUGCACUGAGGAAAUUUGAAUAUUAUCAAUCGUCAUACAUAAACAGGUUUUCUGGCACAAAGAGUCUGAUGUCACGUCAUCGUGAUGUUUGUUGCUGCAGCACACACACAAUAAUAAUAGUAAUAAGAAUAACAACAAUGCUACUAAUAAUAACAAUGCGUGUAUAUAUACACGAACCCCGCAUGCAGAUGGUUAUAUGAGCCUGUGCUCAUAGCUUACAAUUAUUUGUUGAAGGAAAUAGACUAACAAAAUAGAACAAACACUUUAUUGUAAAAACAAAAUGAAAACACACAGUAGCUGGGCUUUUUUAUUAAUAUCUGGAGUUUCAAUAUUGUUUGCAAUUGGGUUAAAGAUUGAUUUGUAGCUAGACCACAUUCAUGAAGUAAUAAGUUCAUUCAUGGCCUGGGGCCAUGACCAAAAGGUAGAAAAUAGGCAAAACACGUUUGUUUACUCGUAGUAACUGUGGCCUGUAAAAGGUAUGUUAUGUGGAUUACUUUGCAUUGUUUGUUGUUGAUUGAUUGUUGUUGUUAUGACACCUAUAUUCAAUUAUAAAACUGGACUGUAAAUUGGUCCAUUCUCUGUUUAAGUGAUCUGAAUAGACAAGAUUAUCUUUUCUUACUUAAACGUUACAUUUUCUGUAUGAGCGGUGUCUUUGUCUGUAAUGACUAAAAGUAUCUCUCUGUUCCAAAA
Molecule: long non-coding RNA, 1651 nt
Organism: Betta splendens (Siamese fighting fish)
Lineage: Eukaryota; Metazoa; Chordata; Actinopteri; Anabantiformes; Osphronemidae
Exons: 2
Source: RefSeq, a predicted model, not a curated record